Molecule: non-coding RNA, 30 nt
Filed under: Mus musculus (house mouse)
Lineage: Eukaryota; Metazoa; Chordata; Mammalia; Rodentia; Muridae
Source: RNAcentral
UGGCCUUCUCAAUCAUUGCUUCUUUGUGCU